UUAAAAGAUAUGGACUUCGCCCAAAG
RNAcentral lists this non-coding RNA (26 nucleotides) under Mus musculus (house mouse). Lineage: Eukaryota; Metazoa; Chordata; Mammalia; Rodentia; Muridae. The record is from RNAcentral.